Long non-coding RNA from Gossypium arboreum, 379 nucleotides. RefSeq lists it as uncharacterized. The transcript has 3 exons. NCBI's taxonomy places the organism in Eukaryota, Viridiplantae, Streptophyta, Magnoliopsida, Malvales, Malvaceae. The record is from RefSeq and is a predicted model, not a curated record.
UUCAUUAAAAGAAAAAGGGGUGAAAAGAACAAAGUUUUGUCCAUCUUUGUUCAUCAUAGCCGAAAGUUAGAGAAGAGAAAGGAGAGGAGAAAGCUCUUGAAUGUUUGGUCACUUGGGGAAGAAAAUUGAAGGCGGUUCGUGUGUGGAUCUCGUCAGCAUAUCGUCACAAACAGGAAAUCCCCAACCAUAGUGGGCUUGGAGCUGUGAGGGAAUUCGAAAUGGCCACCCGUUUUGAAAGUUUGGUUUUCUUCUGGUGAACUGGACAUCCUAUUAUUUACGUUGAGGUUUGGGUUUUUAAAUGUAAUAAGGCCGCUUAAUUAUUUUUGAUGGUUUUAAUAUGUAUUACUAAUAUAGGUAUUACUUAUUUUAACUGUUGAAA